RNAcentral lists this ribosomal RNA (443 nucleotides) under Gyliotrachela adela. RNAcentral's name for it is "partial 16S ribosomal RNA". It matches the Rfam family "Archaeal large subunit ribosomal RNA", at positions 1921 to 2665 of the family's 2987-position model. The record is from RNAcentral. Lineage: Eukaryota; Metazoa; Mollusca; Gastropoda; Stylommatophora; Vertiginidae.
AGCCUUAAGAUUUUAUUUAAGGUAAAACCUGCCCAGUGAUUUAUUUAACGGCCGCAGUACUUUGACUGUGCUAAGGUAGCAUAAUAAAUUGACUUUUAAUUGAAGUCUAGAAUGAACGGGAAUUUGGGGAGACACUGUCUUAAAAAAAUUAAAUAUAACUUCCUAAAUAGGUGAAAAUUCCUAUAGAUAUAUAAAUUAGACGAGAAGACCCUAAGAAUUACUGUUAAAAAUUCCUUUAGAGUUUAAACUUUUGUUGGGGCAACAUUGUUGAAAUUAAACCAACAAUUAUUAGAAGAUAAUAUAUUUACUAAUUGUAAGAGAAUAGUAAAUUACCUUAGGGAUAACAGCAUAAUUAAAUUAUUUAGAUUGUGACCUCGAUGUUGGAUUAAGGGCUUUAACUGUUAGCCACAAUUAAAGAUAGUUCUGUUCGAACAUAAUACCUU